AAGCAAACAUGAGGAACAAGAAUUCAGCCGCAAUAAUAGGGAGUGUCAAAUCGAAGUCGAAAAGCGCCGCCUUUUCGAAUUCUUCAGCCAAGGAGGGAGGUGCCUGUGAAAGUGAGAAGGAGGUGGCUGCAAGAAUUACAGAAAUGGACUUGAGGGAAGAAGCGGUCAGGGAGAGGAGUUGGUGGGGUUUUGGGAUACUGGGCAAGGCUAAUUUGGGGAGGACCUUGAUUCUUGUGGAGGAACAG
This 245-nucleotide long non-coding RNA is filed under the name Olea europaea (common olive). RNAcentral's name for it is "long non-coding RNA (OEUR_LNC007344)". The record is from RNAcentral. Lineage: Eukaryota; Viridiplantae; Streptophyta; Magnoliopsida; Lamiales; Oleaceae.